CGUUCUCUUAGGUCAGGAGCUAAAAUCCCAUGGACGUCGGCUGAGGAACACCCUACACAUCGUUCAUUCUCGUUAGGAGCCCUGGGCUGUUUUACUUCUCCACAGGU
RNAcentral lists this long non-coding RNA (107 nucleotides) under Carlito syrichta (Philippine tarsier). RNAcentral's name for it is "Rhabdomyosarcoma 2 associated transcript conserved region 4 (ENSTSYG00000036918.1)". It matches the Rfam family "Rhabdomyosarcoma 2 associated transcript conserved region 4". The record is from RNAcentral. Lineage: Eukaryota; Metazoa; Chordata; Mammalia; Primates; Tarsiidae.